UAGAGUUGCAAAACUCCCUAAACCACUGUGAAUCUUACCUAUUGUUCGUUGCUCUGGCGGGCGGCUCCAGGGCGGAGCCACUGCCCGUUAGGUUGGGCGCCCGCCGGAGGACAACCAAAACUCACUGAAUCUCGGGUGAUCUCAGAGUACCAUAAAAACAAGCUAUCA
This 168-nucleotide unclassified non-coding RNA is filed under the name uncultured Diaporthales. RNAcentral describes it as "sequence contains ITS1". The record is from RNAcentral. Lineage: Eukaryota; Fungi; Ascomycota; Sordariomycetes; Diaporthales.